AUUGAACGCUGGCGGAAUGCUUUACACAUGCAAGUCGAACGGCAGCACGGACUUCGGUCUGGUGGCGAGUGGCGAACGGGUGAGUAAUGUAUCGGAACGUGCCCAGUCGUGGGGGAUAACGUAGUGAAAAUUACGCUAAUACCGCAUACGAUCUAUGGAUGAAAGCGGGGGAUCGCAAGACCUCGCGCGAUUGGAGCGGCCGAUAUCAGAUUAGGUAGUUGGUGGGGUAAAGGCUCACCAAGCCAACGAUCUGUAGCUGGUCUGAGAGGACGACCAGCCACGCUGGAACAGAGACACGGUCCAGACUCCUACGGGAGUCAGCAGUGGGGAAUUUUGGACAAUGGGCGAAAGCCUGAUCCAGCCAUUCCGCGUGCAGGAUGAAGGCCCUCGGGUUGUAAACUGCUUUUGUACAGAACGAAAAGGUUUCUACUAAUACUAGGAGCUCAUGACGGUACUGUAAGAAUAAGCACCGGCUAACUACUUGCCAGCCGCCGCAGUAA
This 500-nucleotide ribosomal RNA is filed under the name uncultured bacterium. RNAcentral's name for it is "partial 16S ribosomal RNA". It matches the Rfam family "Bacterial small subunit ribosomal RNA", at positions 30 to 523 of the family's 1533-position model. The record is from RNAcentral.